Molecule: ribosomal RNA, 253 nt
Filed under: uncultured bacterium
Lineage: Bacteria
Description: partial 16S ribosomal RNA
Rfam family: Bacterial small subunit ribosomal RNA
Source: RNAcentral
UACAGAGGGUGCGAGCGUUAAUCGGAAUUACUGGGCGUAAAGCGCGCGUAGGUGGUUUGUUAAGUUGGAUGUGAAAGCCCCGGGCUCAACCUGGGAACUGCAUCCAAAACUGGCAAGCUAGAGUACGGUAGAGGGUGGUGGAAUUUCCUGUGUAGCGGUGAAAUGCGUAGAUAUAGGAAGGAACACCAGUGGCGAAGGCGACCACCUGGACUGAUACUGACACUGAGGUGCGAAAGCAUGGGUAGCGAACAGG